RNAcentral lists this ribosomal RNA (381 nucleotides) under uncultured bacterium. RNAcentral describes it as "bacterial SSU rRNA". It matches the Rfam family "Bacterial small subunit ribosomal RNA", at positions 30 to 422 of the family's 1533-position model. The record is from RNAcentral.
AUUGAACGCUGGCGGUAUGCCUAACACAUGCAAGUCGAACGAGGUAGCAAUACCUAGUGGCGGACGGGUGAGGAAUACGUAGGGAUCUGCCCUUAAGUGGGGGAUAACCCGGGGGAAACCCGGAUUAAUACCGCAUGAUCUCGCAAGAGCAAAGAGGGGGACCGCAAGGCCUCUCGCUUUUGGAGGAACCUACGUCGGAUUAGCUAGUUGGUGAGGUAAUGGCUCACCAAGGCGACGAUCCGUAGCUGGUCUGAGAGGAUGAUCAGCCACACUGGGACUGAGACACGGCCCAGACUCCUACGGGAGGCAGCAGUGGGGAAUAUUGGACAAUGGGCGAAAGCCUGAUCCAGCAAUGCCGCGUGAGUGAUGAAGGCCUUAGGG